Molecule: ribosomal RNA, 625 nt
Filed under: Carybdea arborifera
Lineage: Eukaryota; Metazoa; Cnidaria; Cubozoa; Carybdeida; Carybdeidae
Description: partial 16S ribosomal RNA
Rfam family: Bacterial large subunit ribosomal RNA
Source: RNAcentral
UUUACCAAAAACAUAGCUAGCUGCUACUACUACGGUAUAGGUAUAGCUAGUGAAACCUGCUCACUGAUAUAGAAUAAGCAUAGCAAUUAAUAUUGAAGAGCCGCGGUAACUCUGACCGUGCUAAGGUAGCAUAAUCAAUCGCCUCUUAAUUGGAGGCUAGAAUGAAAGGAAUAACGAGUCCCUCUCUGUCUCAAGUGCAGGCAAGUCGAAAUUUAGUACCUCGUUAAGACGCGAGGAAACCCUGGUUAGACGAGAAGACCCCGUCGAGCUUUACUUUAAUUUAUCGAAUACAGGGUUCCUUGGAAAGGAACUAACUUCGGAUAAUGAAAUAGUUUAGUUGGGGUGACUGCCCAAAAUUUAUAAACUUGGGUGAACAACGGUUUCUUAUAAAAUAGUAAUCUUUACUGAAGGGGGGACACCCUUUUCAGUUACAAAGUAGUGUAGGUUUUAAAAACCCGUUCUCUAUAGGGGAACGAUAUCGUAUAAAAGCUACCGCGGGGAUAACAGGGUUAUUUAGUCUUAGAGCUCCUAUCGAAGGCUGAGUUUGCCACCUCGAUGUUGAAUAGCAGUUUCCUAGGGGUGCAGAAGCUCCUAAGGGUUGGUCUGUUCGACCAUUAAAACCUUA